This 114-nucleotide ribosomal RNA is filed under the name uncultured bacterium. Its description in RNAcentral is "partial 16S ribosomal RNA". It matches the Rfam family "Bacterial small subunit ribosomal RNA", at positions 1369 to 1482 of the family's 1533-position model. The record is from RNAcentral.
CGUUCCCGGGCCUUGUACACACCGCCCGUCACACCACGAGAGUUUGUAACACCCGAAGUCGGUGGGGUAACCGCAAGGAGCCAGCCGCCUAAGGUGGGACGGAUGAUUGGGGUG